RNAcentral lists this ribosomal RNA (533 nucleotides) under Raorchestes sp. CESF014. RNAcentral's name for it is "partial 16S ribosomal RNA". It matches the Rfam family "Bacterial large subunit ribosomal RNA", at positions 1829 to 2597 of the family's 2925-position model. The record is from RNAcentral. Lineage: Eukaryota; Metazoa; Chordata; Amphibia; Anura; Rhacophoridae.
CGCCUCUUGACAAUAAUAGGAGGUCCUGCCUGCCCAGUGACAAAGUUCAACGGCCGCGGUACCCUAACCGUGCGAAGGUAGCAUAAUCNCUUGUUCCUUAAAUAGGGACUCGUAUCAACGGCAUCACGAGGGUUACACUGUCUCCCCCCUCCAAUCAGUGAAACUGAUCUCCCCAUGAAAAAGUGGGGAUACCACUAUAAGACGAGAAGACCCCAUGGAGCUUUAAACCCAAUAGCAAUUUAGCAAAGCUACAAAAUUAUGCUAACGGCUUUAGGUUGGGGCGACCGCGGAGUAAAAACCAACCUCCACAACGAAAAGACUUAAAUCUUUACCCAAGAGCUACCACUCUAAGAAUUAGAAAACUAACGGACUGACCCGAUAUCGAUCAAUGAACCAAGUUACCCCGGGGAUAACAGCGCAAUCUACUUCAAGAGUCCAUAUCGACAAGUAGGCUUACGACCUCGAUGUUGGAUCAGGGUAUCCCAGUGGUGCAGUCGCUACUGAAGGUUCGUUUGUUCAACGAUUAAAACCCU